This 588-nucleotide long non-coding RNA is filed under the name Polistes fuscatus (common paper wasp). RNAcentral's name for it is "uncharacterized LOC122526735". Lineage: Eukaryota; Metazoa; Arthropoda; Insecta; Hymenoptera; Vespidae. The record is from RNAcentral.
ACUAUAUAUUUAUUGAAUAUUGUACUAUAUAUUAUACUAAAUGUUCGUAUUAUAUUUUAGUAUAAACAUUUAGAGCUGUAAAAACGACGAUUUUUAAGCUACGUCGUUUACGUACAGAUUGCUAUGUUUUAUUACUUGUGCUGUUAUAACCGUUUGUUAAAAAACAUUUUUAAAAACACAAGUUUUCACGAUUACUGCACUUAACAAUAUUAAAAUUUCGUUUCAAUAAAAAUGUGUUAUUAUAGAAUUAUGUGUUUUGUGUUUGCAUCAAGUUAAAAAAUAUCGAAGAAAGGCUUUUUACUACCAAAUUAUACUUUUACCUUUUCUUUUAGAUUCUUCAAUUUUCGGUAUUAUUAAAAACUCUAGAAGACAAAAUAGAAUGCAUCCUUUUUGUAACUGGUGCAGCUUUUACUGUAUAUAUCAAUUUUUAUCUUGGACAAAGGUUGCUGAAUCAUAGCGAUGCUGUUCGUGAAGAAUUGUGUGAUGUUCCGUUUUAUACAUUAUCCAUAAAUACACAAAAAAUGCUACUAUUUAUAAUAACUAAAAGUGGAAAACCGUGCUUUCUAUCAAUCGGAAAUAUGUUUGUCU